Molecule: long non-coding RNA, 1855 nt
Organism: Haemorhous mexicanus (house finch)
Lineage: Eukaryota; Metazoa; Chordata; Aves; Passeriformes; Fringillidae
Exons: 4
Source: RefSeq, a predicted model, not a curated record
ACCAUCACCUACACAAUUACACGCUAUCUCCUAGCGGGAGAACUUCCCGGCAGAGGCAGCAAACCCCGGGAGCCCGGCAGGAGGGCUCAGGGGAAGCACAGCUUCCCCCGCACCCCUUGUGCCCGGAGAACCCGAGCAGGGUGCGGGCUCCAGGGGACUGGCAGAAGGAGGGUCCCCACCUCAGCGAGCGGCUUCACCUCCGCCAGACAAUGGCACUAAGCAGAGAAAGCUAUGGGGCAAAGAGAUUCUUCACCCCUGGUGCAGGUGGAAGACCAAACUUCAGUCCUGGGUGCCAGUGAAUAGCUGCUGCAGGCUGAGCAGAUGUUUCCAGUGAGCUGUGUGUGGCGACACACAGCCUCCCCCCACCAUCACCCAGGCAGCUGUGGUUGAUUGAGAACCCAGAGAGAUGGCAGUGCCAUCGAGGCAGCCUUCCCCACCAUGUGUGUCAGCAGCAAGGGUCACCUGCCCCUUACCUUGGGGAAAGCCUCCUUCCUGCACAGAGCCAGGCUGGAAUAAUGACUACUGCUUGAAAGACAAGCAUUUUGAGCAACUGGGGAACAGGGGAUUAGAGAGAAAACGAGUGCCCUGGCUGCCCCUCUGCAAACCCCAUGCCUGGUGCUGUGUCCUCACUGCCUGUCCUGCAGCAGGGCACUUCCCUCUCUCCUUGGCAGAACUGUGGAUGCCUGCAGUGGUAAAGCCUGUUUUCCCUAAACACAGAAGGGAAACAAAAGAGAGAUUUCCCAGUCACUCUUUCAGGAUUGCUUCCCCUAAAACUCUCUAAAGCAGUGCUACAAGCCCUUCUUUGAUGUUUGCUUACAUCCUCCUUUAUCUGCUUCUGUGACACUUUUGCGGCUUUUCUGCCCAAAAUGAUGCAGUUCCCUCCCUGCUCUGCAGUGGCCUCCUGUGCUUGCACUUAGUUACUCUCUCCUCUGGUCACACCUCUCCUGACCCACUGUGUGCACCGUUUGCAAUUUGGAUAGCAGCUCCUAUCAUUUCAGCUGUAUGUUUCAUAAAGGGACUCUGUAUGGGGGGUUUUAUAUGUAUCUUGAAAGAGAGUAGCUUUUAACAACAGCUUUUGCUGACCUCUCUGCUGCAUCCAAUUCAUUUUCAUAUAACUCAUCUAGAAGGACUAAAAUCUAUACAAAAUAUCACAUGCUAUCCAUUCCUGAACAUUUUUGCCUAAGGUUUUCUGUUACUUUGAGGUUUUUUUUCUCAUGUAGGGUCAGGAAUGGCACUACUGAGAGAGGGUUUAUAGAUAUUGUGCUAUUUGUAUUAUACUACAAAUCAAACGGGGGAAAGGAGGGUAGAGGGAGAGAGAAUGAGUAAAAACUCUUUUUUUUUUUUCCAAAUCAGCCUGUAUUGAAAAGGCAAUUAUUAUUUCAGGGUAGUCUCCUUCUCUUAGACCUCUCUAUCAAACUUUUCCUAUACACAUUCCUCCUCAUUUGGUUAGCAUUCAUUACUAUGAGCCUGAUCACAGACUUCAUGGUGCUCCUUGGAGAAAUUCAUGCCCCCAUCCCAUGACAUCUCCUUGAUCACCUGACUCUGCACUGGACUACAACUGGCAAUGCUUUUUUCUGACACAUAUGCAGAGCUGAUGGCACCAAAAUCUUCAUAGCUUGUCACAGCCUGGAUAGGUUGAUAUUUAAAAAAAUAAAAGGAAAUAAAAAAAAGGGGGAGCGAAAUGACCAAGCAACUCUUCAGGCAGCCAAAAGAUUUCAUUUCAGUAUUGUCAAAAUGAAACAUUCAGAGCAAUUUUUCAUUUCUUUCUAAGCCAGAAGGUCUUAAAUCCUCAUAGAUGGAAUAAAAAAAAUGAAAUACAUGGCUUUGCCUCUUUGCUUUGCCAUGUUUUAAGUUA